UGCCGUGCGAUUUGUGCAGUGUGCAACGUUUGCUCGAGCUAAACGCAAGUACUGUGCAUCCCCUGUGCGCUGUCAGUUUGUCCACGGUG
This 89-nucleotide microRNA precursor is filed under the name Petromyzon marinus (sea lamprey). Its description in RNAcentral is "microRNA pma-mir-4566 precursor". Lineage: Eukaryota; Metazoa; Chordata; Hyperoartia; Petromyzontiformes; Petromyzontidae. The record is from miRBase by way of RNAcentral.